CAGGAAUGCCACAGGCCCACAGGAAUCUGCUUCGCUGGCCUUGCAGUCACACUCCUGCAUCAACUGUGAUCUGGAUCGGGUAUGCUGACAGUUUGUAUUAAAAACAACAACACUAAAGAUAACCUAGUAUGCUCGAAGGAAGGAAGGAAGGAAGGAAGGAAGGAAGGAAGGAAGGAAGGAAGGAAGAUUCAUAAUCCGCACCCAUUCUGGUUCAAUUAGGAGGUGAAUUGAUUCAACAUGACAUUCUGAUCCAGUUAGGAGUUUCCAUGAGCCUCUGUGAUAGUGUUAAGAAAACAGACAUCUGAAAGGAAAUGGUUGUACACAGUUAUCCAUCUGCCUCCUUUCUGACUUCUCGGCCAGCAAUGGGGAUAACACUGGAGAGCAUUGCAGAAUUAUUAUAUGCCAGGUAACCCUGUCUGCCCUCUAGAUACAGUUAAAUUAUGGGAUAUUAAAUCAAAUAAGACAAUAAAAAUAAUAAAAUGGUCUGUGUUUACA
Molecule: long non-coding RNA, 495 nt
Filed under: Pogona vitticeps (central bearded dragon)
Lineage: Eukaryota; Metazoa; Chordata; Lepidosauria; Squamata; Agamidae
Description: lncRNA (ENSPVIG00000023166.1)
Source: RNAcentral